CAGCACCUCAAGUGGUCAGGAUGAUUAUUGGGCCUAAGGCAUCCGUAGCCGGCUCUGUAAGUUUUCGGUUAAAUCUGUACGCUCAACGUACAGGCUGCCGGGAAUACUGCAGCGCUAGGGAGUGGGAGAGGUAGACGGUACUCGGUAGGAAGGGGUAAAAUCCUUUGAUCUAUUGAUGACCACCUGUGGCGAAGGCGGUCUACCAGAACACGUCCGACGGUGAGGGAUGAAAGCUGGGGGAGCAAGCCGGAUUAGAUACCCGAGUAGUCC
RNAcentral lists this ribosomal RNA (270 nucleotides) under uncultured archaeon. Its description in RNAcentral is "partial 16S ribosomal RNA". It matches the Rfam family "Archaeal small subunit ribosomal RNA", at positions 477 to 747 of the family's 1478-position model. The record is from RNAcentral.